RNAcentral lists this long non-coding RNA (1175 nucleotides) under Salmo salar (Atlantic salmon). RNAcentral's name for it is "lncRNA (ENSSSAG00000113193.1, ENSSSAG00000118336.1)". The record is from RNAcentral. Lineage: Eukaryota; Metazoa; Chordata; Actinopteri; Salmoniformes; Salmonidae.
GUUUUCAUUUCUCCCUUUUCACCGGCCGGCCGGCAAACUGGAGCGACACACCCCCACAAUCUGCACAGAAAAAAAGUGAGUGACACAUUCCAAACUACCCAUUGGCUUCUGGCUUGCGAUGGCAGCGGACCAAUAGCAGUGAAUUGAAGGCGGUGCCUUGUGAAUCUCGCCUGGCUGCACGCGCAGGGGAGUGGGGGCGUGGCAUUUUUUUGAGGAAAAAAAGCUAAACAAUCUUUAAUAUUUCAAAUUGACUGUGUCGGCUUUUUAAGUUGUCUCGGCUGGUGGAGAAGUCCAUACCUUAGAAUAGUGGUAACACACGGGGAUCCACUCAAGACAGGCCUGAAUGUAUUUUCUUCCAAAUUUCUGGACGAAAAGGUAUAGAAAGCGGGUAAUCUUUCUUUAGUCACCACUCCGGUCAGACGAUGAAUUCUAAACGUUUGCUUGACAUGUCUCCGGCUGAAAUACUGGUCGGGGGCGCUUCGAAACAAGCCGGUAUUGACCAGCAUGCAGAGGGUUCCAAGGGAAGCGAAAUGAGUGUCACCACUACUGACAGCGGUGUCAUUCUGGCGUGCGGGAGCGGGCCCGCAUCAGGAGCAGUUUUCUGCACAUUCGUGCUAGACGAUGGCACUUUGAGAGAAUGUACAAACCAGGACAUUAUCCUCAAUGGGAAUGACCUGUCGUCAGGGAAAGAAAAAUACGCGCACCGGAAAAUAAUGUGGUAAAGAGGUCAAUGGAACGCAGACCAUGGGGGAUAGAAGAAGGAUGCUGGAUUGGCGCACAGUCAACAAAUCUGAUCUAACAAAGAUGAUAUUCGUCAAAACCGUCAUGAUUGAUGCAUUGUAACAGGCCCACAAUGUGGUUACCAAAGUCCGAUUGAAAUACAUUUGGCUGUUUUCACUGCAUAACAUUUAGAAGUAGUCCAUUUUCAGGUUUAGAAGAAGUGACUGGACUGCUAAAUGCUAACUCCCAUUCGUAUAUCUGGUAGCAUAGCUAGCAUAGAGAAAUCGGUGGUGGGUCAAAGUCAUUUGUAAUGAAGUUGAUUGGUGAUGACAUGAACAUGUAUUGGAUGACAUGAACAUGCUUACAUUCAUACAAGCAAUAUACCGAUUUUUACCCCACCAUAUUGUGAAAUAGUGCAAAUGAUCUUUCCUCUCUACCCAAUGGCAAAAUGUGUA